RNAcentral lists this ribosomal RNA (319 nucleotides) under uncultured eukaryote. Its description in RNAcentral is "partial 18S ribosomal RNA". It matches the Rfam family "Eukaryotic small subunit ribosomal RNA", at positions 1470 to 1796 of the family's 1831-position model. The record is from RNAcentral.
CCCUUAGAUGUUCUGGGCAGCACGCGCGCUACAAUGGUCUUCGCAAACGGAUGCAUUCCCGAAGGAGAAUGCCAAUCUUGGAAUCUAUGCCUUGGUCGGGACAGUUGCUUGCAAUUUUUCGACUCGAACCAGGAAUUCCUUGUAAUCGUGAUUCAUCACAUCACGAUGAAUACGUCCCUGCCCUUUGUACACACCGCCCGUCGCUCCUACCGAUCGAAGAGUUAGGUGGAUUGUUUUGAUCGAUAAGAUUUGACUAUGGUCAACUCUCGUUGUGAAAUUCUGUGAAUCUGACUGUUUAGAGGAAGGAAAAGUCGUAACA